RNA transcript from Onychomys torridus (southern grasshopper mouse), 433 nucleotides. It is a transcript of the gene named zinc finger protein 431-like, with no coding region annotated. NCBI's taxonomy places the organism in Eukaryota, Metazoa, Chordata, Mammalia, Rodentia, Cricetidae. The transcript is spliced from 2 exons. The record is from RefSeq and is a predicted model, not a curated record.
UGAGUGUUCUGUGGAAGGCAAUGUCUUCAAUGCAGGAUUGGGAAAUGGUAUCUCAGAAAAGAGAUCCAGGAGGAUUAAGUCGUUCACAUCCAGAGCCGAGGAGCAUGGCUGCAGGCCGGGAUGAAAACUGAAACAAGAAGCUGAGAGCUGAGGGCUCUAAUCUUGGACAGCAAACAUGAAGCAGAGAGACAGAGAGAGUGCACUGGAAAUGGCUCAAGGCUUCUGAAACCCUAAAUCCCAACCAGUGACACAUGUCCUCAAGGAAUAGGUCGCUGUCAGAGUUCCUGAUCACAGUCAAGAGUUCCUGAUUGUGGCCAGCCAAUGAGGGAAGACCUCACAAUGCCCGCAGGUUGGGACACAGUUUGGGUGCUGUGAGGAGGGUAUGCAAGGCCUUCCCCAUUAUUGAAUAAAGGAGUUUGUUGUUUACAUUCAA